GACGAACCGUGCGAACGUUAUUCGGAAUCACUGGGCUUAAAGGGCGCGUAGGCGGGCGACCGAGUCAGGGGUGAAAGCCUCCGGCCUAACCGGAGAAGUGCCUUUGAUACUGGCCGCCUCGAGUGGUGUAGGGGCAUGUGGAACUUCCGGUGGAGCGGUGAAAUGCGUAGAUAUCGGAAGGAACGCCGGUGGCGAAAGCGACGUGCUGGACACCUCCUGACGCUGAGGCGCGAAAGCCAGGGGAGCAAACGG
Molecule: ribosomal RNA, 252 nt
Filed under: uncultured bacterium
Lineage: Bacteria
Description: partial 16S ribosomal RNA
Rfam family: Bacterial small subunit ribosomal RNA
Source: RNAcentral